UACGUAGGGUGCAAGCGUUGUCCGGAAUUAUUGGGCGUAAAGAGCUCGUAGGCGGUCUGUCGCGUCGGAUGUGAAAAUCCAGGGCUCAACCCUGGACCUGCAUUCGAUACGGGCAGACUAGAGUUCGGCAGGGGAGACUGGAAUUCCUGGUGUAGCGGUGAAAUGCGCAGAUAUCAGGAGGAACACCGAUGGCGAAGGCAGCUCGCUGGGACGGGACUGACGCUGAGGCGCGAAAGCGUGGGGAGCAAACAGG
Molecule: ribosomal RNA, 253 nt
Filed under: uncultured bacterium
Lineage: Bacteria
Description: partial 16S ribosomal RNA
Rfam family: Bacterial small subunit ribosomal RNA
Source: RNAcentral